CCUACGGUGGCUGCAGUGGGGAAUAUUGGACAAUGGGCGAAAGCCUGAUCCAGCCAUGCCGCGUGUGUGAAGAAGGCCUUCGGGUUGUAAAGCACUUUCAGUGGGGAAGAAAGCCUUGGGGCUAAUACCCUCGAGGAAGGACAUCACCCACAGAAGAAGCACCGGCUAACUUCGUGCCAGCAGCCGCGGUAAUACGGAGGGUGCGAGCGUUAAUCGGAAUUACUGGGCGUAAAGCGCGCGUAGGCGGUCUGAUAAGCCGGUUGUGAAAGCCCCGGGCUCAACCUGGGAACGGCAUCCGGAACUGUCAGGCUAGAGUGCAGGAGAGGAAGGUAGAAUUCCCGGUGUAGCGGUGAAAUGCGUAGAGAUCGGGAGGAAUACCAGUGGCGAAGGCGGCCUUCUGGACUGACACUGACGCUGAGGUGCGAAAGCGUGGGUAGCAAACAGGAUUAGAUACCCCGGUAGUC
This 464-nucleotide ribosomal RNA is filed under the name Vreelandella stevensii. RNAcentral's name for it is "partial 16S ribosomal RNA". It matches the Rfam family "Bacterial small subunit ribosomal RNA", at positions 338 to 795 of the family's 1533-position model. The record is from RNAcentral. Lineage: Bacteria; Pseudomonadati; Pseudomonadota; Gammaproteobacteria; Oceanospirillales; Halomonadaceae.